This 69-nucleotide transfer RNA is filed under the name Batagur kachuga (red-crowned roofed turtle). RNAcentral describes it as "tRNA-Ser". Lineage: Eukaryota; Metazoa; Chordata; Testudines; Geoemydidae. The record is from RNAcentral.
GAGAGAGGUGACACACACGAUAAGAGCUGCUAAUUCCUAUAUCUGAGGCUAACUACCCCAGCUCCCUCA